AUGAGGUUCUUGUGUUGGAACUGUCGCGGCCUAGGGACGGACGCGACAGUUGGCGAGCUGAAAUGGCUCGUUAAUAAAUAUCGUCCCUCCCUCCUCUUUCUAUCCGAGACGAAGAUGAGGGACUCAAGAGCUCGGAGCCUAAUGUGGACGUUGGGUUUUUCGGGAGCUUUUGCAGUUAGCAGUGAUGGAUUGAGUGGGGGUUUGGCCCUUUAUUGGUCUGCCUCUAUCUCAGUGUCUCUAAAAGCUUACUCCAUGCAACUGAUGGAUAUUAGAGUCAAAACAGAAAAUGGAGUUGAAUGGCGUACAACAUUGGUAUAUGGAGAACCAAAGAAAGAAUUGAGGCACAUAUUCUGCGAUAGACUCAGAUUCUUGAAGUCCCAACGGAAUGGACCGUGGAUAUGUGCUGGUGAUUUUAAUGAAGCUUUACAUGGGAAUGAGCACAUGGGCUUUAGAGACAGAGAUGAGAAUCAAAUGGCUCUGUUUAGAGAUUGCCUAGAUGUAUGUGGACUUUUGGACCUUGGGUAUAUUGGCCCUAAAUUUACAUGGUCUAACCGACAACAUGGUGGGAUGAAUAUAAGAGUUAGACUAGAUCGAGCUUUGGCAAACGUGAAUCAUUCUUUCAGAUUUGAAGCUGCAUGGAUGAAGGCUCCGGAUUAUAAUCAAAUGAUAGAGGAAAACUGGAAAUUUCUGAAAGAUGGUGCUCCUUUUUCCCUAAACAACACAUGGUCUGCACUUAAUAAAUUAUCUAAAUCUAUCCAUACCUGGAGCAGGACAUCAUUUGUGUUAAGCCUCAUGCACUAG
This 801-nucleotide ribosomal RNA is filed under the name Triticum aestivum (bread wheat). RNAcentral's name for it is "partial small subunit ribosomal RNA". The record is from RNAcentral. Lineage: Eukaryota; Viridiplantae; Streptophyta; Magnoliopsida; Poales; Poaceae.